AGCAUAGCGAUUUGGGAUAAGUCCCUUGGAAGAGGGCAGCAUGGAGGGUGAUACUCCCGUCUCUGCACAGGUUGUCUGUGUGUACGAUAUGCUUUCUUUGAGUCGAGUUGUUUGGGAAUACAGCUCAAAGCAGGUGGUAAAUUCCAUCUAAAGCUAAAUAUUGGUGCGAGACCGAUAGCGAACAAGUACCGUGAGGGAAAGAUGAAAAGAACUUUGAAAAGAGAGUUAAAGAGUACCUGAAACUGUUGAAAGGGAACCGUAUCGUUUCUAGUGUGUAUCCUAUGCAUAUUUCAUUGGCGGUUGUAAAAUUGCUGGUGCCCUGUGUAUGGGUGUGACGUCAGAGUCAGUUUGAAUUGCGGGAGAUGGGUAGUGAGGAGGUGCGUCACUUCUUGUGAAAGUUACAGCUCGCUAUCUAGUAGCCGUGGUUGAGACUGAGGUGCC
This 441-nucleotide ribosomal RNA is filed under the name uncultured Oomycota. RNAcentral's name for it is "LSU rRNA". It matches the Rfam family "Eukaryotic large subunit ribosomal RNA", at positions 165 to 604 of the family's 3401-position model. The record is from RNAcentral. Lineage: Eukaryota; Oomycota.